AUGAACGCUGGCGGCGUGCCUAAUCCAUGCAAGUCGAGCGAACAGACGAGGAGCUUGCUCCUCUGACGUUAGCGGCGGACGGGUGAGUAACACGUGGAUAACCUACCUAUAAGACUGGGAUAACUUCGGGAAACCGGAGCUAAUACCGGAUAAUAUAUUGAACCGCAUGGUUCAAUAGUGAAAGACGGUUUUGCUGUCACUUAUAGAUGGAUCCGCGCCGCAUUAGCUAGUUGGUAAGGUAACGGCUUACCAAGGCAACGAUGCGUAGCCGACCUGAGAGGGUGAUCGGCCACACUGGAACUGAGACACGGUCCAGACUCCUACGGGAGGCAGCAGUAGGGAAUCUUCCGCAAUGGGCGAAAGCUUGACGGAGCAACGCCGCGUGAGUGAUGUAGGUCUUCGGAUCGUAAAACUCUGUUAUUAGGGAAGAACAAAUGUGUAAGUAACUAUGCACGUCUUGACGGUACCUAAUCAGAAAGCCACGGCUAACUACGUG
Molecule: ribosomal RNA, 496 nt
Filed under: uncultured bacterium
Lineage: Bacteria
Description: partial 16S ribosomal RNA
Rfam family: Bacterial small subunit ribosomal RNA
Source: RNAcentral